RNAcentral lists this non-coding RNA (21 nucleotides) under Caenorhabditis elegans. Lineage: Eukaryota; Metazoa; Nematoda; Chromadorea; Rhabditida; Rhabditidae. The record is from RNAcentral.
UGGGAGUAUCAUAAGUUUUCU